Paracoccidioides brasiliensis is the source of this 87-nucleotide transfer RNA. It matches the Rfam family "tRNA". Rfam says of the family: Transfer RNA (tRNA) molecules are approximately 80 nucleotides in length. Their secondary structure includes four short double-helical elements and three loops (D, anti-codon, and T loops). The record is from Rfam. Lineage: Eukaryota; Fungi; Ascomycota; Eurotiomycetes; Onygenales; Ajellomycetaceae.
CCGCUGGUCGUCUAGUUGGUUUAUGGCACUGGACUGUAAUAUCUGCUCGCGAUCCAGGUGUCGUCGGUUCGACUCCGACCCAGCGGA